AAAUUGAAGAGUUUGAUCAUGGCUCAGAUUGAACGCUGGCGGCAGGCCUAACACAUGCAAGUCGAACGGUAACAGGAAGCAGCUUGCUGCUUUGCUGACGAGUGGCGGACGGGUGAGUAAUGUCUGGGAAACUGCCUGAUGGAGGGGGAUAACUACUGGAAACGGUGGCUAAUACCGCAUAACGUCGCAAGACCAAAGAGGGGGACCUUCGGGCCUCUUGCCAUCAGAUGUGCCCA
This 236-nucleotide ribosomal RNA is filed under the name Salmonella enterica. Its description in RNAcentral is "partial 16S ribosomal RNA". It matches the Rfam family "Bacterial small subunit ribosomal RNA", at positions 1 to 233 of the family's 1533-position model. The record is from RNAcentral. Lineage: Bacteria; Pseudomonadati; Pseudomonadota; Gammaproteobacteria; Enterobacterales; Enterobacteriaceae. RNAcentral also lists the same sequence under 12 other names.